AGAGUUUGAUCCUGGCUCAGAACGAACGCUGGCGGCGCGUUUUAAGCAUGCAAGUCGAAGGAGAAAUCAGUGCUUGCACUGAUGGAAACUGGCGAACGGGUGAGUAACACGUAAGAAUCUGCCCUGAGGCGGGGGAUAGCCCAUGGAAACAUGGGAUAAUACCGCGUAUGUCUUCGGAUGAAAGCAACUUUUGUUGCGCCUUGGGAUGAGCUUGCGGUCCAUUAGCUAGUUGGUAAGGUAAAGGCUUACCAAGGCGACGAUGGAUAGCCGGCCUGAGAGGGUGAUCGGCCACAUUGGGACUGAGACACGGCCCAGACUCCUACGGGAGGCAGCAGCUAAGAAUAUUCCGCAAUGGGAGAGAUCCUGACGGAGCGACGCCGCGUGAACGAUGAAGGCAGAAAUGUUGUAAAGUUCUUUUAUACGGGAAGAAUAAUGUUAUUCAGAGAAAGUCUAACAGAUGACGGUACCGUAUGAAUAAGCCCCGGCUAACUACGUGCCAGCAGCCGCGGUAAUACGUAGGGGGCAAGCGUUGUUCGGAUUUAUUGGGCGUAAAGGGCAUGUAGGCUGUUUUGCAAGUGUGGAUUGAAAGGCCGGAGCUUAACUCCGUGUUUGGUCUGCAAACUGCAAGACUUGAGUUUAGGAUGGGAGACUGGAAUUCCACGUGUAGGGGUGAAAUCUGUAGAGAUGUGGAAGAAUACCGGUGGCGAAGGCGAGUCUCUGGCCUAAUACUGACGCUGAGAUGCGAAAGCGUGGGGAGCGAACAGGAUUAGAUACCCUGGUAGUCCACGCCGUAAACGUUGCACACUAGGUGUUAGGGGAGUUGAUCUUCUAGUGCCGUAGCUAACGCGUUAAGUGUGCCGCCUGGGGAGUAUGCCGGCAACGGUGAAACUCAAAGGAAUUGACGGGGGCCCGCACAAGCGGUGGAGCAUGUGGUUUAAUUCGAUACGCGAAAAACCUUACCAGGACUUGACAUCUAGAUGAUGGAUACAGAGAUGUAUCUUCCUUUCGGGGCAUCUAGACAGGUGCUGCAUGGCUGUCGUCAGCUCGUGUUGUGAGAUGUUGGGUUAAGUCCCGCAACGAGCGCAACCCCUACUGUUAGUUGCCAUCUGGGUAAUGCCAGGGCACUCUAGCGGAACUGCCGGUGACAAACCGGAGGAAGGUGGGGAUGACGUCAAGUCCUCAUGGCCCUUAUGUCCUGGGCUACACACGUGCUACAAUGGGCUGUACAAAGGGUUGCAAUACUGCGAAGUGGAGCCAAUCCCAAAAAGCAGUCCUCAGUUCGGAUUGGAGUCUGCAACUCGACUCCAUGAAGUUGGAAUCGCUAGUAAUCGCAGAUCAGCAUGCUGUGGUGAAUACGUUCCCGGGCCUUGUACACACCGCCCGUCACACCAUCCGAGUCGAAGAUACCCGAAGUCGUUACCCUAAUCCUUUGGAGGGGGGGCGCCUAAGGUAUGUUUGGUAAGGAGGGUGAAGUCGUAACAAGGUA
Molecule: ribosomal RNA, 1486 nt
Filed under: metagenome
Description: bacterial SSU rRNA
Rfam family: Bacterial small subunit ribosomal RNA
Source: RNAcentral